CCUACGGGAGGCAGCAGUGAGGAAUAUUGGUCAAUGGACGCAAGUCUGAACCAGCCAAGCCGCGUGCGGGAUGAAGGCUCUACGAGUUGUAAACUGCUUUUGUACGGGGAUAACACCCGCUACGUGUAUCUGUCUGCAAGUAUCGUACGAAUAAGGAUCGGCUAACUCCGUGCCAGCAGCCGCGGUAAUACGGAAGACUCGAGCGUUAUCCGGAUUUAUUGGGUUUAAAGGGUGCGUUGGCGGGCGGAUAAGUUAGAGGUUAAAUCCCGGGGCUCAACCCCGGCCCUGCAUCUGAUACUGGACGGAUAGAGUUCAGUUGAGGCAGGCGGAAUGUAUGGUGUAGCGGUGAAAUGCAUAGAGAUCAUACAGAACACCGAUUGCGAAGGCAGCCUACCAAGCUACGACUGACGCUGAGGCACGAAGGUGCGGGGAGCAAACAGGAUUAGAUACCCGUGUAGUC
Molecule: ribosomal RNA, 460 nt
Filed under: uncultured bacterium
Lineage: Bacteria
Description: partial 16S ribosomal RNA
Rfam family: Bacterial small subunit ribosomal RNA
Source: RNAcentral